RNAcentral lists this long non-coding RNA (369 nucleotides) under Lotus japonicus. Its description in RNAcentral is "long non-coding RNA (LJAP_LNC000151)". Lineage: Eukaryota; Viridiplantae; Streptophyta; Magnoliopsida; Fabales; Fabaceae. The record is from RNAcentral.
AAGAUUAAACAAUUCACAAACAGAAGCAUAGUAGCAUGAAAACAUUUGCGUAUUGUGCUAAACAAAUCUAGUAAAGGGACAAUGAUUAAACAUGUUCACAAAUAAUACUAUAGAAUCAUGAGAUAUUCACGUACUGUCUAAAAAAUCAAGUAAAUAAGGAUUACUUGCUUGAAGCACAAAAGAAACCUUCAUUUCCUUGAAUGUUUGUCUGGAUGAUACCUUUGCAGCGCCCACAUUUGUGUCUUUUAUGUGGUGCAAUCAAAGUGUAUGUCCUACUCUCGAAAUUGAAUUGAAGCUCAAAAAUGGAACAUCAAUUCUCACAAGUGAUCACUCUUUUGGUUUUUCUCUCUGCCCCUCUAAACCUCAUUC